UUUGGUGGCCAUAGCACGAGCAAAACACCCGGCUCCAUUCCGAACCCGGCCGUUAAGUGCCGUUGCGCUGAUGGUACUGCG
Molecule: ribosomal RNA, 81 nt
Filed under: Paracoccaceae bacterium
Lineage: Bacteria; Pseudomonadati; Pseudomonadota; Alphaproteobacteria; Rhodobacterales; Paracoccaceae
Source: RNAcentral